UCCAGACUCCUACGGGAGGCAGCAGUGAGGAAUAUUGGUCAAUGGUCGGGAGACUGAACCAGCCGAGCCGCGUGAGGGAGGAAGGUACAGAGUAUCGUAAACCUCUUUUGUCAGGGAACAAAGGCUGGGACGCGUCCCCGGAUGAGUGUACCUGAAGAAAAAGCAUCGGCUAACUCCGUGCCAGCAGCCGCGGUAAUACGGAGGAUGCGAGCGUUAUCCGGAUUUAUUGGGUUUAAAGGGUGCGCAGGCGGUGUGGAAAGACGGGGGAGACGGCAGGACAACCACCCGCCGCCCGCCGUUGAAACUGGCAGUCUCGAGUUGGAGAGAAGUAUGCGGAAUGCGCGGUGUAGCGGUGAAAUGCAUAGAUAUCGCGCAGAACUCCGAUUGCGAAGGCAGCAUGCCGGCUCCACACUGACGCUGAGGCACGAAAGCGUGGGUAUCGAACAGGAUUAGAUGCCCUCGUA
Molecule: ribosomal RNA, 464 nt
Filed under: uncultured bacterium
Lineage: Bacteria
Description: bacterial SSU rRNA
Rfam family: Bacterial small subunit ribosomal RNA
Source: RNAcentral